Molecule: long non-coding RNA, 387 nt
Organism: Papaver somniferum (opium poppy)
Lineage: Eukaryota; Viridiplantae; Streptophyta; Magnoliopsida; Ranunculales; Papaveraceae
Exons: 4
Source: RefSeq, a predicted model, not a curated record
GAAGACACACGACCCUCGGCUAUUUGAUGAAUUGCUAAAGCGAGAAUGCAUGAUAAUUCUUUUUCGAAGCCUUAUCAAAUCUAAUCAGAACAUAUAUAAUCGGUGCAACGAUCGGUGGCGCCUGAUAUGCAACAUGUGCACCAGUUCUAAGUGUCCAUUUGAUUGAUGAAACCCAAGAAAAAUCAGAUCAAGUGGAGGGAAGACAAAUUUUAAUCAACCUAUUAACCAAGAUUUUACUACGGUUUGGUCAUGGAAAGAAAUCAUCCGUGUCUGAAAGGAAGGAAAUGUGUUUGCUAAGGAUUUCUGUAUGAGUAAGUUAAGGUAUAUGCUGUAUCGUUCAAUUCGCGUUAUGAAGUUCUUUGAAAAGCAGUUAGAUUAUGAAGCAAA